RNAcentral lists this ribosomal RNA (253 nucleotides) under uncultured bacterium. RNAcentral describes it as "partial 16S ribosomal RNA". It matches the Rfam family "Bacterial small subunit ribosomal RNA", at positions 524 to 776 of the family's 1533-position model. The record is from RNAcentral.
UACGGAGGGUGCAAACGUUGCUCGGAAUCAUUGGGCGUAAAGCGCACGUAGGCGGCCUAUUAAGUCGGAUGUGAAAGCCCCGGGCUCAACCCGGGAAGUGCAUACGAAACUGGUAGGCUUGAAUAUGGAAGAGGGUCGCGGAAUUCCCGGUGUAGAGGUGAAAUUCGUAGAUAUCGGGAGGAACACCAGUGGCGAAGGCGGCGACCUGGGCCAAUAUUGACGCUGAGGUGCGAAAGCGUGGGGAGCAAACAGG